UACAGAGGUCCCGAGCGUUGUUCGGAUUCACUGGGCGUAAAGGGCGCGUAGGCGGCCUUCUAAGUCAGACGUGAAAUCCCCCGGCUUAACCUGGGAACUGCGUCUGAUACUGGGAGGCUUGAGUAUGGGAGAGGGAUGUAGAAUUCCUGGUGUAGCGGUGAAAUGCGUAGAUAUCAGGAGGAACACCGGUGGCGAAAGCGCUCAUCUGGCCCAAUACUGACGCUGAGGCGCGAAAGCUAGGGGAGCAAACGGG
This 253-nucleotide ribosomal RNA is filed under the name uncultured prokaryote. Its description in RNAcentral is "partial 16S ribosomal RNA". It matches the Rfam family "Bacterial small subunit ribosomal RNA", at positions 524 to 776 of the family's 1533-position model. The record is from RNAcentral.